CUUUUCUUUACGAACGUGAAGGUCGUCUUCAACCAAACUGCCCGCGUCGACGCGCCCCGCUGCACCCUCUCCUCUGCUCGGACCCCAGGAAACAGCCACGGCCAUUAACGUCGACUCCCGUUGCUCCACGUUCUCCCUCUCUGUAUAAAUUCGACCGGAGCUUCCAAAUAGCAUACCACACUCCUCCACUGAUUCACGCCCCCAGGCUGCCCCUGUGGAGGGCGAAUUUCUUCGCCGGAGUUCCGACGGCCGCCGCGACGUUUCGUCGAAUUCUCCGGCCGGAGGCCCGGAGGUCACCCACGACGAACACCCGACGCCAACAUCGCUAUAGCUGUCCGUCGACCAUCUCCGGGAGUUUCGCUGGAGAGUCCGAGUACGGUAUCGUCUACAUCAUUGUUCUUCUCCGGUGACGCCAUAUCAUCGACGCCGUUCCCACUGCCGCGCACGAACUCUCCGACAGUCUCUGUCAAAAAAAUCCCAUCGAUUGUACGGAAUUUUAUCAAGAAGAAGAUCCUUGUUGCUGUUGUUCCGAAG
Long non-coding RNA from Lolium perenne, 534 nucleotides. RefSeq lists it as uncharacterized. The record is from RefSeq and is a predicted model, not a curated record. Lineage: Eukaryota; Viridiplantae; Streptophyta; Magnoliopsida; Poales; Poaceae.